RNAcentral lists this ribosomal RNA (372 nucleotides) under uncultured organism. RNAcentral describes it as "bacterial SSU rRNA". It matches the Rfam family "Bacterial small subunit ribosomal RNA", at positions 526 to 896 of the family's 1533-position model. The record is from RNAcentral.
CGGAGGGUGCAAGCGUUGUUCGGAAUUAUUGGGCGUAAAGCGCGUGUAGGCGGCUUUGCGAGUCGGGUGUGAAAGCCCUGGGCUCAACCCAGGAAGUGCGCCCGAAACUGCAUUGCUUGAGUACCGGAGAGGGUAGCGGAAUUCCCCAAGUAGAGGUGAAAUUCGUAGAUAUGGGGAGGAACGCCGGUGGCGAAGGCGGCUACCUGGACGGAUACUGACGCUGAGACGCGAAAGCGUGGGUAGCAAACAGGAUUAGAUACCCUGGUAGUCCACGCUGUAAACGAUGAGAACUAGGUGUCGUGGGUGUUGACCCCCGCGGUGCCGUAGCUAACGCAUUAAGUUCUCCGCCUGGGAAGUACGGUCGCAAGACUA